RNAcentral lists this ribosomal RNA (461 nucleotides) under uncultured Anoxybacillus sp. RNAcentral describes it as "bacterial SSU rRNA". It matches the Rfam family "Bacterial small subunit ribosomal RNA", at positions 923 to 1382 of the family's 1533-position model. The record is from RNAcentral. Lineage: Bacteria; Bacillati; Bacillota; Bacilli; Caryophanales; Anoxybacillaceae.
GCACAAGCGGUGGAGCAUGUGGUUUAAUUCGAAGCAACGCGAAGAACCUUACCAGGUCUUGACAUCCCCUGAUAACCCGAGAGAUCGGGCGUUCCCCUUCGGGGGACAGGGUGACAGGUGGUGCGUGGUUGUCGUCAGCUCGUGUCGUGAGAUGUUGGGUUAAGUCCCGCAACGAGCGCAACCCUCGACCUUAGUUGCCAGCAUUCAGUUGGGCACUCUAAGGUGACUGCCGGCUAAAAGUCGGAGGAAGGUGGGGAUGACGUCAAAUCAUCAUGCCCCUUAUGUCUUGGGCUUCACGCAUGCUACAAUGGCCGGUACAAAGGGCUGCGAUACCGCGAGGUGGAGCGAAUCCCAGAAAGCCGGUCUCAGUUCGGAUUGGGGUCUGCAACUCGACCCCAUGAAGUCGGAGUCGCUAGUAAUCGCAGAUCAGCAACGCUGCGGUGAAUACGUUCCCGGGCCUU